RNAcentral lists this ribosomal RNA (253 nucleotides) under uncultured bacterium. RNAcentral's name for it is "partial 16S ribosomal RNA". It matches the Rfam family "Bacterial small subunit ribosomal RNA", at positions 524 to 776 of the family's 1533-position model. The record is from RNAcentral.
GACAGAGGGGGCAAGCGUUGCUCGGAAUUACUGGGCGUAAAGGGCGCGUAGGCGGGAUGGCAAGUCGGUCGUGAAAUCCCUCGGCUCAACUGAGGAUCGUCGAUCGAUACUGCCGUUCUUGAGGAUUGCAGAGGAGACUGGAAUUCCCGGUGUAGCGGUGAAAUGUGUAGAGAUCGGGAGGAACACCGGUGGCGAAGGCAGCACUCUGGGACGUGACUGACGCUGAGACGCGAAAGCGUGGGGAGCAAACAGG